CCCCGUCCCAAAAUAAGUGCAGCCAUGAGUUUCAGCGCCCUACUUUGAUCAUCCGUCUUAUUUUAAAUUUUUUUAUAAUUAGCAAUUUUGUAGUUAUAAGAUGAUAAAACAUAAAUACUAAUUUACUCGUGAAUUAUGUUUUUAAUUCUUUUCAAAAAAUUUUCAAAUAAGACGAGUUGUUAAAGUUGGGCGCGGAAAACCAUGACUGCACUUAUUUUGGGACGGAUGGA
Molecule: microRNA precursor, 230 nt
Filed under: Oryza sativa (Asian cultivated rice)
Lineage: Eukaryota; Viridiplantae; Streptophyta; Magnoliopsida; Poales; Poaceae
Description: partial microRNA MIR433a-17-as precursor
Rfam family: MIR812 microRNA precursor family (bases 12-216)
Source: RNAcentral